ACAAGGACUUCAACGUUACGGAAAUCAGACAGAUGUGCAUUUGCCAAAUCUGUCCCGGGGGUAAUAUCUCGGGUCUAACUCGUGGGUUGGGGUGCACUUCAGACCGGGUCCACACGGGCACAGUCCAUUAUAGUACUCUGUAUCAGGCGAGUAUUGCUGUCCCAAUUCACACCACAUUGCGUCUAUGCCUUUCCAGGGGAGGCAAUAAUGUACCAUACCGUCCCAGUCAGGCGGGACUUGUCGCCCUUGAGCGGACCUUUUCCCCAAGGCGGGCGUGUAAGAGCAACAUAAUUGCGUGUUGUUACAGUGUUCGUUGGUGUUGCAGUGAUACAAGUUGGACGGCGUGAAGGCACACUGAAAACAAUACAUCUUUAUAAAUGAAAACUCACCCUCACUUGUCAAGGUCACAAUUCAAGAUGAAACGUCAAGGGAAAACGGUGCCUAUUGCGUAUGCGUAAAGAGUCGUCCCACAUAAGACUGUGAAGACGCACAUGCUGAUCCCACGACGAUACGUUCUGCCUUGACUGGAUUUUCAUCAGAUGAGACUUCUUUUAAACGAAACCAUUCCUAACAGGGGGCUAAUCUGAGACGAUUCUUUAUGCAUAUUCGUUAAUUUCGUUUCUUCCCAGAGCGAUGCUCAUAUUCAACUGCAAUAUUUGUCAGCAGAUGAUUGUCUGUCUGUCUGUCUGUCUGUCUGUCUGUCUGUCUGUCUGUCUGUCUGUCUGUCUGUCUGUCUGUCUGUCUGUCUGUCUGUCUGUCUCUGUGUGUGUGUGUGUGUGUGUGUGUGUGUGUGUGUGUGUGUGUGUGUGUGUGUGUGUGUGUGUGUGUGUGUGCGUGCGUGCGUGCGUGCGUGCGUGUGUGUGUGUGUCUGUCUGUCCGUCCGCCUGUCCGUCCGUCCGUCCGCCCGCCCGCCCGCCCGCCCGUCCACCCGUCCGUCCGUCCGUCUGUCUGUCUGUCUGUUUAAAAUAAAUUUGCACUCUCAUAGAUACGUCUUUUAGUAUUUUUUACAGACUUCAAGUGGUUCUUGUUGAGAAUCAUAUAAAUAAGUCUGAGCAUAAUUAAUCAUCUCAAAAGUUCUUAACUUCUGCAAGUACUAAUAAAAUAAAACCCUAAAGCGUGCUGUUAUUUCAGAAUUCUUGAAGUAUACUGUACAUAUAAUUUCUACGACCAUUCUUUCUUACUUGUUAUUUAAAAGCUCAGUUUUCAAUUACUGGUAGAGGUAUAUGCUUCUAGUACUGGCGACCAGCAUCAUUGCAUCAAGAUUUCGUAUGUUCGUCGUAAAGUUCUUAUUUUCAUGGUAUUCUGCAUUCUGCACUGAACGGUUAAGAGAACUUUUCUAAAAACUUAAAGGGGCCUUUUCACAGAUUUUGGCAUUUUUUAACUUAUUCAUUAAAUGCUUUAUAUUGAUAAAUGUAAACAUUGGAUCGUAAAAUCUCCAGUAAAAAAUCAAAAAUAAAAUUAAAAAAAGGAAAAGAACAUUGCCCGGAGCAGGUUUCGAACCAGUGACCCCUGGAGUCCUGCCAGAGUCCUGAAGUAAAAACGCUUUAGCCUACUGAGCUAUUCCGCCGAGUACACAUACUUGACGUAUUUUAUACCUUAUAUAAGCAAUCUUCGUAGUUUCACAAAAUUUAACGACAAAAACAGAACUCUCAAAAUUAUUCAAUCGUUUCGCGUUGCAACGCUUUAUAAUUUUUAGGUUUUAAAAUCGUCAAAAGAUGCAUAUAAUGGCUAUAUUAGACCAUGGUAAAUGUUCAGUAUUACUGUUUCCUCACAAAUAUCAUAACUAAAACGAAAAUGUGCGAAUCUGAAACAACUUUUUUCAAUUUUGUCAAUUUACCAAAGCGUGAAAAGAUCCCUUUAAGUAUUCCAAUACAUUCAAAGUUGCAAAACAUAAAUCUUUUUCCCGACUUCUUUCAUAAUCAUUUGAUUUCAGUAUUCACUCCUAUGAACAUAAAUUCAUACACACAUGAAUUAUAUAUGCAUUUAUGAUAGUAAAUGAAAUGUGACAAUGAUAAUCAAAACAAUAUAAGCACACACGUGUUGUAACCUCCUCUCAGAAAACCAGGAAAAACACUUAUUUUCAGUAAGUAGACAUUUUCAAAUUAUUUGGCAGAUGGGGAAUACAACGUUUCAGCAUGGAAAUUGUAUAUGAUGUAUAUGUAUCCUUAAUCGAAUCAAAGAAACUAUUUUAGUUUUACUUCAGUAAUUUUAAGUUCCAGCUUUAUUUGCAAGGGCAUCCACAUUUUAACCCUUUGCAUGCUGGGAAAUUUGUCGUCUGCUAAAAUGUCGUCUGCUGAAUUUCUAAAAUUAGCAUUUUCGU
This is a long non-coding RNA of Dreissena polymorpha, 2320 nucleotides long. RefSeq lists it as uncharacterized. NCBI's taxonomy places the organism in Eukaryota, Metazoa, Mollusca, Bivalvia, Myida, Dreissenidae. The record is from RefSeq and is a predicted model, not a curated record. The transcript has 2 exons.